UCAGUCUCGAUUGCGGAAAACCCCGACCGAAAGGUUUGGGUCGGGUCUCAACUAUCCGACCCAGAACGGCAACGGUUGACGGAGCUGCUGACGGCCAACGCCGACAUAUUUGCUUGGUCGGCAGCAGAUAUGUCGGGCAUCCCCCCAGAGACAAUAACCCACCGACUCAACAUCGACCCGACGAUGAGGCCGGUGAGGCAGAAGAAAAGG
This 210-nucleotide long non-coding RNA is filed under the name Elaeis guineensis (African oil palm). RNAcentral describes it as "long non-coding RNA (EGUI_LNC015153)". Lineage: Eukaryota; Viridiplantae; Streptophyta; Magnoliopsida; Arecales; Arecaceae. The record is from RNAcentral.